Sitodiplosis mosellana (orange wheat blossom midge) is the source of this 74-nucleotide non-coding RNA. The record is from the annotation of a RefSeq genome assembly. NCBI's taxonomy places the organism in Eukaryota, Metazoa, Arthropoda, Insecta, Diptera, Cecidomyiidae.
GCCCUAGUGGCGCAGUUGGUUAGCGCGCGGUACUUAUAAUGCCGAUGUCGUGAGAUCGAGGCUCACCUAGGGCA